RNAcentral lists this ribosomal RNA (484 nucleotides) under uncultured bacterium. RNAcentral describes it as "partial 16S ribosomal RNA". It matches the Rfam family "Bacterial small subunit ribosomal RNA", at positions 29 to 507 of the family's 1533-position model. The record is from RNAcentral.
AAUGAACGCUGGCGGCAUGCCUAACACAUGCAAGUCGAGCGAACGAAGGGGGCUUGCUCCCGGAUGCCGCGGCGGACGGGCGGGUAAUGCCCACGAGUCUGCCUGACAUAUGGGGAUGAGGUCCGGACACGGGCGCUAAUAUCGCAUCCGACCAUAUAUUGAACGUGGGGGAUCUUUGGUGCACGAGGUAUUAGCUGAGCCUAGGCGGAGUUAGCGAGUUGGUAGGGUAAGGGCCUAACAAGGCGACGAUCCGUAACUGGUCUGAGUGGAUGAUCGGACACACUGGAACUGAGACACGGUCCAGACUCCUACGGGAGGCAGCAGUGGGGAAUCUUGCGCAAUGGGCGAAAGCCUGAUCCAGCAAUGCCGCGUGUGUGAUGAAGGUCUUCGGAUUGUAAAGCGCUUUAAGUUGGGAGGAAGAAAAGUGAGUUUAUCCCUGGCUGUUUUGACGUUACCAACAGAAUAAGCCCCGGCUAACUUCGUG